Molecule: ribosomal RNA, 253 nt
Filed under: uncultured bacterium
Lineage: Bacteria
Description: partial 16S ribosomal RNA
Rfam family: Bacterial small subunit ribosomal RNA
Source: RNAcentral
UACGGAGGGGGCUAGCGUUGUCCGAAGUUACUGGGCGUAAAGCGCGCGUAGGCGGGUUGGUAAGUCCGCUGUGAAAGCCCGGAGCUCAACUCCGGAGGGUCGGUGGAUACUGCCAGUCUUGAAGGUGCUAGGGGGAGAUGGAAUUACCGGUGUAGCGGUGAAAUGCGUAGAUAUCCGGAGGAACACCGGUGGCGAAGGCGGCUUCCUGGACCGACACUGACGCUGAGGCGCGAAAGCUAGGGGAGCAAACGGG